AUGUUCAAAAUCAAAUUUCUUCCCUACCUCUGGCGGCAUCGGAGCCCUAAAUCUUCAAACAAAGUACGUUAUCAUUUUCCUCUCUCUGCCCUGAGUCUAAAUCUCAUGUCCAAUUCUAACAAUUCUCCAUCAAUUAUUCGAAUCGAGGCCAACUGUAUAAGAACCCUAUAAAUAAAAUGAGAAAUUAAAUCAUGAUUCUCUAGAAUCACGACACUAGAGGUUAGGGAUUUGAUUCUCCUAAAUGAAGUCUACAACCCGAUAACAAGCACAAAGCAAACAACCAAGAAAAAGAGGACACUCAUCGGAGAAUUCGCGGAGGUCACUAGAAUCAAGUAAUCUAUUAUGAAUCUUUCUUCUUCUUUCGAAUCUCCUUCUUAUUUAAUCUUGUUCUUCUUCUUUCUUCUUCUGUGAUUGAGUCUCGUGUGAGUGUGAAAUUAUGUGUGUGUGUGUGUGUGUGUGUGUGUGUGUGAGAGAGAGAGAGAGAGAGAGAGAGAGAGAGGAUGAAGCUCUGAGUCUAUGUGAAUUGAGAUGAAGGAUGAUUAAUGAUGAGUCUGGGUUGAUGAAAAAAUGAAGAGUCCAAGAGAGAGAGAGAGAGAGAGAGAGAGAGAGGAUGAAGCUCUGAGUCUAUGUGAAUUGAGAUGAAGGAUGAUUAAUGAUGAGUCUGGGUUGAUGAAAAAAUGAAGAGUCCCUAGAGAUUAUGAAGGUUGAUUUGAAUUUAUAGAGGGAUUAGUUAACAGAAAAAGGAACUAUGUUAGUUCUAUUUGAUUCAAAGUUAGUCUGUAGUUAACUAACUCCGGGAUUUUCAGUUACAAGUUAGUUAGGGAAUUCAAAAUUCUACUUAAGCGGUAGUUAGAUGGUGAGAUGAAAGUGAAAGUUAGUCUGAGAUGUGUUAACUGUGAACUACAAUUUCUAUUAGUUCUGAGUGAAAUGAAAUUCAGUUAAGUGUUAAAUUUAAUUAGAUGUUCAGUUAGAUGUUAAAUGAGUUGUUAGUUGUAAGUUGGUUAAGUUAUGAAAUUCUAUUUUUAUCUUCAACCUCAAUUAGUGGUUAGUUAUGAAUCGUGCCAUGCUGCUAUUGUUGAUUGAUUUGCAAUGUAGUUUGAUAUGUUUAGUUGUUGCAUUGUUGUGUCAUGACAAAUUGCAUUGUUGUUUAUCUUCUUUUGUGAUGAAUUGCAUUGCCAUGUUAUUGUGUAUGUGACCUUGAUUGCACAUGCUAUGGUGCUUGUGCUAUGGUGCUUGUGUUAUAAUGCUAGGUGAAUAAACUAUGGUUGAUUCUAAUUUAUGGUUAAUGUUUAGGCUAUGGUGAAUUGUUGGCUUUGCGUUAUGAUGGAUUGCAUUGAAUUAAAAUCUUAGGGCUGCAAUGAAUUGUUUGUGUUACUUAUUGGAUGCUAGUGUGAUAUGAUUGUUAUCAUGGCUUGAAAUGCUUGGCUAAGGUUGUUUAGAUUGAAUGGUUGAUUGAUAUUUAUAAUUUGAUGUGUUAUGCAUAUGCUUGACAUUUGUUUUGUAUGGUUUUAGAAAUGGUUUAUGUUGGCAUGGUUGGAAAUAGACUGUUUAGAUCAAUGUUGGUUUACCAUGCUUGAAAUGACAUGUAUUGAUUUGGUCUUAUCUUGUAGGAUGUGCAUGAGGAUGGAUGGAAAAAGAUGGCUUAUACUUGAAGAAAAAUGGGGAUUAGGGUUUAGGAUGUAAAAAGUUGGUUAGUUGACUUUGGUCAACUGGUUGACCCAAAACUCAACAGUUGACCAAAAACUCAACAGUUGACCAAAAGUGAUCAACUUAUGUAAAAAUUGUACUUUUUGUAAUUUCUUUGUAUGAACAUGUAUGGGCAAUGUAAAAAUGAUCUUGUAUGAAUAAAAUGCAUCCUUUUUAGAUGGGAAAGUACUUAGGAUUA
Molecule: long non-coding RNA, 1885 nt
Filed under: Lathyrus oleraceus (garden pea)
Lineage: Eukaryota; Viridiplantae; Streptophyta; Magnoliopsida; Fabales; Fabaceae
Description: Pisum sativum (pea) long non-coding RNA (PSAT_LNC035409)
Source: RNAcentral